This 496-nucleotide ribosomal RNA is filed under the name uncultured bacterium. RNAcentral describes it as "partial 16S ribosomal RNA". It matches the Rfam family "Bacterial small subunit ribosomal RNA", at positions 29 to 507 of the family's 1533-position model. The record is from RNAcentral.
AUGAACGCUGGCGGCGUGCCUAAUACAUGCAAGUCGAGCGAACAGACGAGGAGCUUGCUCCUCUGACGUUAGCGGCGGACGGGUGAGUAACACGUGGAUAACCUACCUAUAAGACUGGGAUAACUUCGGGAAACCGGAGCUAAUACCGGAUAAUAUAUUGAACCGCAUGGUUCAAUAGUGAAAGACGGUUUUGCUGUCACUUAUAGAUGGAUCCGCGCCGCAUUAGCUAGUUGGUAAGGUAACGGCUUACCAAGGCGACGAUGCGUAGCCGACCUGAGAGGGUGAUCGGCCACACUGGAACUGAGACACGGUCCAGACUCCUACGGGAGGCAGCAGUAGGGAAUCUUCCGCAAUGGGCGAAAGCCUGACGGAGCAACGCCGCGUGAGUGAUGAAGGUCUUCGGAUCGUAAAACUCUGUUAUUAGGGAAGAACAAAUGUGUAAGUAACUAUGCACGUCUUGACGAUACCUAAUCAGAAAGCCACGGCUAACUACGUG